GGGAGCGGCGGCUCCCGGAACCGGCGCCCGGCGCCUGUUGCGUGCCGGGUGGCCGCAUUCCGGCAGGAGUGGGGCGGGUUCCGGGAGCGGCGGCUCCCC
This 99-nucleotide transfer RNA is filed under the name Streptomyces purpureus. Its description in RNAcentral is "tRNA-Asn". Lineage: Bacteria; Bacillati; Actinomycetota; Actinomycetes; Kitasatosporales; Streptomycetaceae. The record is from RNAcentral.